RNAcentral lists this ribosomal RNA (492 nucleotides) under uncultured bacterium. RNAcentral's name for it is "partial 16S ribosomal RNA". It matches the Rfam family "Bacterial small subunit ribosomal RNA", at positions 29 to 507 of the family's 1533-position model. The record is from RNAcentral.
AUUGAACGCUGGCGGCAUGCUUUACACAUGCAAGUCGAACGGUAACAGGCCUUCGGGUGCUGACGAGUGGCGCACGGGUGCGUAAUGCAUCGGAACGUGCCCAGAGGUGGGGGAUAACGCAGCGAAAGCUGUGCUAAUACCGCAUGUGAUCUGAGGAUGAAAGCGGGGGACCAGGCAGCAAUGUUUGGCCUCGCGCCUUUGGAGCGGCCGAUGUCAGAUUAGGUAGUUGGUGGGGUAAAGGCCUACCAAGCCGACGAUCUGUAGCUGGUCUGAGAGGACGACCAGCCGCACUGGGACUGAGACACGGCCCAGACUCCUACGGGAGGCAGCAGUGGGGAAUUUUGGACAAUGGGCGCAAGCCUGAUCCAGCAAUGCCGCGUGCGGGAAGAAGGCCUUCGGGUUGUAAACCGCUUUUGUACGGAACGAAAAGGCUCUGGCUAAUACCUGGGGCUGAUGACGGUACCGGAAGAAUAAGCACCGGCUAACUACGUG